This is a long non-coding RNA of Manihot esculenta (cassava), 981 nucleotides long. RefSeq lists it as uncharacterized. The transcript is spliced from 3 exons. The record is from RefSeq and is a predicted model, not a curated record. Lineage: Eukaryota; Viridiplantae; Streptophyta; Magnoliopsida; Malpighiales; Euphorbiaceae.
GGCUCCCAGGAAGAAACACUGCAAGAUGAUUGCUGUGCACACUAUUAUCACAUAAUACUUUGUUUCCCCAAGCCCGAACCCUCUUGCUUCUCCUGGAAUAGCCUGCACAAUAUGAACACAUCUGUAAGAUUAUUGUGAAAGAAAAAAAACCAACCUCGAAGUCUUUGUUAACCAGCAUCCCCACAGUGCAAACCACUGUAGCAAACAGAGACAUCACCAGCUGAAUCUCCAUUACUAGGGUGUAGCUUAUUUCCUGCUUAGACUUCUUGUAUAUCAACUCCACCAAUGGUAAGAUAAGCCCAUAUAUAGCUGCCGCCGCCAGCGUCGUAACAAAUCCUAAAAUAUACUCUCCCUUCGACUCAUGUUCCGGCCGAUCACUGUUGGAAUGCAAGGCCAACACACCAGCCCCAACAUGAACGCCAACUGGGUAGCAAUGAUCAAAGAUGAUGUUGAAACAGGGAGACGAGCUAUUCCAUAGGCGUAAAGAUAGUCAUCAAAGCCAGUGAUUACACCGACGAUCGUGGCUGCUAUGAACAGAGAAGUAUCCAUGUAGAAAAAUUUAGUGGUGGGCUUGUGGGAACGGCGAUGGAGAUAGCUUAUGAGGAGGAGAAUGAAAAUAAUUGGCCAACCUCCGGUUUGGAGCCAGCUAGAGAGCCAAACACGCUUGCCUCCAUGGAUGAAGUAGAGACGCAAUAUGAGAGGGCCACCGCAGUUGCCUACAGUUAAGAGGAUGCAGUUCAGAAUUAGUAGAGCUCUUCUCUUUGUGUUGUUUACUUGAGGCUUGUCGUUAGUCUCCAUGAGAAGGGAAAGCUCCAAAUCUUAGCUCCCUUUGUUUCUAUACUUGUGAAAGAAACAGAGAUGCAUAUGAUUUUCAGUUGAAACCCUUUCCUUUCAAAGUUCUCCGAAUAAUAUCCAUGGAUUUUGGCUACAUUUACUUGUAUUUUAUAUUAAUUCUUAAUUAAUUUUAGAUAAUAAUUAUUC